RNAcentral lists this ribosomal RNA (301 nucleotides) under uncultured bacterium. Its description in RNAcentral is "partial 16S ribosomal RNA". It matches the Rfam family "Bacterial small subunit ribosomal RNA", at positions 509 to 808 of the family's 1533-position model. The record is from RNAcentral.
CAGUACCGCGGGAAUACGGAGGGUGCAAGCGUUAUCCGGAUUUAUUGGGUUUAAAGGGUCCGUAGGCGGAUCUGUAAGUCAGUGGUGAAAUCUCACAGCUUAACUGUGAAACUGCCAUUGAUACUGCAGGUCUUGAGUAAAUUUGAAGUGGCUGGAAUAAGUAGUGUAGCGGUGAAAUGCAUAGAUAUUACUUAGAACACCAAUUGCGAAGGCAGGUCACUAAGAUUUAACUGACGCUGAUGGACGAAAGCGUGGGGAGCGAACAGGAUUAGAGACCCCUGUAGUCCCUGUCUCUUAUACA